UGGGACAGCUGGGAUUUGAACAUAGGUAUUCAGACUCCAGAGUCUAGACUUUCAACUGCCAGACUCUCCUACCUCUCUACACAGAACACUAACAAGUCCACAACGUAAAAACAAGCUGUGAAUAGUAGGUCUCCCUCCCUCCCAAGACUAUCAAUCUUCAUUCCCAGAGGAAACCACUGGCAACAGUUUCCUUCCAGAAAAAUGCAAGUAUGCACAUGCAAGCAUAUAUCUAGAUUCAUAAGUUAUAAAUCUAUAUCUUUUUUAUAACCAAAAUGGAAGCAUUUAAUACCAAUGCUGUACCUUCUUAUUUCACUUAACAUUAUAUCCUUGAAGAUUUUUCCAUAUCAAAACAUAUAGAUCUACUUUAUCUUAAGGGCUGCAAAGUAAUUCAUUGUAAAGAGGUAAUAUAAUUUAAUUCACUAGCCUCCAACAUUUAUGUGGUUUCUAGACAUUUUCUUAUAUAAAUAAUGCUACCAUAAGUAUUUUUAUAUUUAUGGCUUUCUUCAUCUACACAAGCUAAUCUCAGAAUAAGUUUGGAGAAGAAUUGUUGGCUGCAUUUAAAAAUUUGAUACAUAUUGCCAAAUUGCUUUGCAAAGUGGUUACAUGAAUUUAUAUAUAGCUGAUAUAUAAAUAAUGGUUGAUUCUGAAAAUUUAUAUUUACGAAGUGACACAUAUCUGUAUAAAAUUCCAAGGCAUGGGUAGAAAGGAAGUUUUGCUUUCUAAUGAUUAAAGCUAGUCAAACUGUCAAGUUUAGCUCCUUCCUUAUGUCCUUUAACAAUAUCCUCAGCAAAAAAGGGCUAGUCAAGAAUUUUUAUCUGCAGUUUCUGUAAAAGGAUUGUGUACCACAUGAAAAAAUUCCCUCCAGAAUUUAGAACUAGGAACAGUCUGGCAGUUUUUCUUUACUGAAUAGCAAUUAUAUACCUUUCUCUCUUUUUGCUUUGGCUUCCAGGCUGCUCAUAAUUACAUUUGGUGCUCAAUCACAGCACCAAUAUUAGCCAAUGAAGAAGCAUCACUAUUUUUAUAUUUAUUCCUAUUUCUAUUUUAAAGACCUAAUAGCAUAUAUGCACCUUACACUGAACCCCUCAAAUUUAUUUUGGAAGUAGGUGGUAUAUAUGAAUAGAUAAAAUUUAAAUGACCUUAAGAUUAAUAAAAGAGAUUAUACAAAAUGGCUAAGGAGGGAACAAUGGUCACAACUUUCAUUCCCUUCCUGUUUGAAAUAUGUAAGAGACUUAAUUAUUUUUAUUGCUCUUCAGAAUCAUUCUUAGAAGAUAAUAAAUUGGGGAAAUUUCCCUCAUCUGGGAACUGGAUGGCAGGAACUAGAAUUUCAAGGUAGAAAGGGGAUUCAGCGAUCAUCUAAGCAAACCCAUCACUUUACAAAUGAGGAAACUGAGGCCCAGAGAGGUGAGGUGACUUACCCGAGGCCACAGCUCUAGGAAAUGACAGAGGCGGGACUAGAACGUGGGUAGCUUGAGGUCCGGACCAACGUGCUGUCCCACUGCAUGACACGCAACACAGACGACUUGGGGUGGCAGAAGAGAGGAAGAGAAGGUGACCCCACAGCCCCUAGCAACAAAAACAACAAGAAGGACUUGAGGCACUCAUAAAUAAUUAAGCAAUUAGCUGCAGCAGCUACUCCCCUCCCCUCCAGCAUCCAGUCACCAAGGCAACUUGGGCAGGGUGCCUGCUGGUUGCCUAGUAACAGUGUGGUCUGCUCCCCUGACAAGCUCCCUAGGCAUCAAAGGAUUUGAGAGCCGGGAAGAACCUUAGACAGGGAUCACUUUUCCAACACCUUCAUUUUCCAAAUGAGAAAAGAAAGGCCCAGAGAAGCUGGGUAACCUGCCCAAGGUCACACAGCUAUUCAGACACACAGCCAGGCUCCAUUCCCAGUUGCUUUCCAUUGCACUAGGGCUGCCUCAGGGAGGCUGCAGAUGGAGGAGAGGGGGAAAUCGCUCUACAGUUCCUAGAAGAAUGAGAAAGUCAGAGCGAGCAAGCAGGCAAGAAAGAGACAGAAACCUGAGCACUCAUAUGCAAUUAGCAGGAGCUGGUAAUCCCAUCAGCCCAACUUUCAUCAUCACCAUGGCAACAUGGGUGAGGUGGGUGCUGGUUGCCUAGCAACAAGUGGUCCUCUCUCUUCUACUCACAUCUGCUCCCUGGGAGUCACAGGAACAGCAGAAUGAUGACGUUGGAAGGGAAGGCAGGGGUCCUAACUCAGUCUCCUCCUUUACCCAAUGAGGAACCUGAGGUUCAGGGACACUGGAAGUCACACAGCCACAGAGUUAGCUAGUGACAUUCCCUCCAUUGAUGGCCUCUGUCUCAACACUUUGGGAAGGGAGCCUUCCACUCAAUAAAGGCAGAACAUGGGAGGGAAUUGGCCAGUGGCUCCCUUGAAAGGAGGGAACACAUGGUCUCUAAUGUCAGAAAACCUGGGUCAAAGCUAGUUCUCCCUAAACCUGGCAAGCUUCCUACCCUCUCUGUGCCUCAGUCUCCACAUAUGAGGACUGGACAUGCUAAUGGUCUCUAUCUCUCGAGUUAUCGUUAGGAUUAAAUGAGAAAAUGUAUAUGUCAAGUCCCUGGUAUAUAGUAAAGAUACAGUAAAUGUCAGGCGUUCAUUCAUUCCACACUCAAUAAAUAUUUG
RNAcentral lists this long non-coding RNA (2635 nucleotides) under Homo sapiens (human). RNAcentral's name for it is "non-protein coding lnc-GPR27-5:1". The record is from RNAcentral. Lineage: Eukaryota; Metazoa; Chordata; Mammalia; Primates; Hominidae.